CCGUCCCCCGCCGUCCCCCUCCGUUCCCCUCCGCACGCGGGUCUUCCCGGCCUCGGCCUCGGCCUGGCGGGGGGGCUGUGCGUCCCAGAGGCCUCGACCCCGGAACCGGCCGUCUCACCCCCCAAUUCCGCCCGGUCCCCCGCGCCUCCCUGUGCUCGCCCAAGACCCGAGGGGGCUGCUCCCGCAGCAGCACCGGGGCCAGCGCCCGGCUCCGGGGCGGGGACCCCGGCUCGCCCCCCGCCUCCCCCGCUGCUCCGACGCGGCCCCCCUGGCCGGGUGGCCCGACGGUACGGGUCGGGCGGUGCCGGGGGCGGCCGGUCGCUGACGCCCCGACACCCAGACAGCGCUGCCCGGGCCCCACCUGGGAUCCGCCCGUGGCCGGCGUCCGCUCCCCGGAGCCCGGCCCCCGCGAGGCCCGAGCGGCCGCGUCGCUGGAAGUCGGCGAAGUCUAAGCCGGGAGUUCGGUGCCUCAAGGCACGUAGGAAGCGUGCGAGAGGGCAGAGGAGUGCGCAGCUGAGGGCCUGCGGGCAGCAGGGGAGCUUCAAAGAGCCCGGGAUAUUUGAUUUGCACCUGAGAGGUCACCAGCAUGAACCGAAAUGA
Molecule: long non-coding RNA, 600 nt
Filed under: Canis lupus familiaris (dog)
Lineage: Eukaryota; Metazoa; Chordata; Mammalia; Carnivora; Canidae
Description: lncRNA (ENSCAFG00000054906.1)
Source: RNAcentral